ACCCUAAAUCUGGGGGCCAUAGCAAGAGCAUUCAUGUUGUGGCCCCUGUCAGACUGCCAAAUUUGUGAAUGCUACU
This 76-nucleotide ribozyme is filed under the name Sphenodon punctatus (tuatara). Its description in RNAcentral is "Mammalian CPEB3 ribozyme (ENSSPUG00000011348.1)". It matches the Rfam family "Mammalian CPEB3 ribozyme". From Rfam's summary of the family: The mammalian CPEB3 ribozyme is a self cleaving RNA located in the second intron of the CPEB3 gene which belongs to a family of genes regulating messenger RNA polyadenylation. This ribozyme is highly conserved and found only in mammals. Lineage: Eukaryota; Metazoa; Chordata; Lepidosauria; Sphenodontia; Sphenodontidae. The record is from Rfam by way of RNAcentral.